UACGUAGGGUGCAAGCGUUGUCCGGAAUUAUUGGACGUAAAGAGCUCGUAGGCGGCCUGUCGCGUCGGCUGUGAAAACCCGGGGCUCAACCCCGGGCCUGCAGUCGAUACGGGCAGGCUAGAGUCCGGUAGGGGAGACUGGAAUUCCUGGUGUAGCGGUGAAAUGCGCAGAUAUCAGGAGGAACACCGGUGGCGAAGGCGGGUCUCUGGGCCGGAACUGACGCUAAGGAGCGAAAGCGUGGGGAGCGAACAGG
This 253-nucleotide ribosomal RNA is filed under the name uncultured bacterium. RNAcentral describes it as "partial 16S ribosomal RNA". It matches the Rfam family "Bacterial small subunit ribosomal RNA", at positions 524 to 776 of the family's 1533-position model. The record is from RNAcentral.